GGGGGAAUCUGAUAAUGGUAAUCAGUUGUAUUUGCAUUACAAAUAUGAUAGUUCGAAUCUAUCUUUCUCCAAUAAAUAAA
This 80-nucleotide transfer RNA is filed under the name Pleurotus pulmonarius. RNAcentral's name for it is "tRNA-Ala". The stretch from base 1 to 71 matches the Rfam family "tRNA". Rfam says of the family: Transfer RNA (tRNA) molecules are approximately 80 nucleotides in length. Lineage: Eukaryota; Fungi; Basidiomycota; Agaricomycetes; Agaricales; Pleurotaceae. The record is from RNAcentral.